Molecule: ribosomal RNA, 2437 nt
Filed under: Staphylococcus aureus
Lineage: Bacteria; Bacillati; Bacillota; Bacilli; Caryophanales; Staphylococcaceae
Description: partial 23S ribosomal RNA
Rfam family: Bacterial large subunit ribosomal RNA
Source: RNAcentral
UAAGGCUAAAUACUCUCUAGUGACCGAUAGUGAACCAGUACCGUGAGGGAAAGGUGAAAAGCACCCCGGAAGGGGAGUGAAAUAGAACCUGAAACCGUGUGCUUACAAGUAGUCAGAGCCCGUUAAUGGGUGAUGGCGUGCCUUUUGUAGAAUGAACCGGCGAGUUACGAUUUGAUGCAAGGUUAAGCAGUAAAUGUGGAGCCGUAGCGAAAGCGAGUCUGAAUAGGGCGUUUAGUAUUUGGUCGUAGACCCGAAACCAGGUGAUCUACCCUUGGUCAGGUUGAAGUUCAGGUAACACUGAAUGGAGGACCGAACCGACUUACGUUGAAAAGUGAGCGGAUGAACUGAGGGUAGCGGAGAAAUUCCAAUCGAACCUGGAGAUAGCUGGUUCUCUCCGAAAUAGCUUUAGGGCUAGCCUCAAGUGAUGAUUAUUGGAGGUAGAGCACUGUUUGGACGAGGGGCCCCUCUCGGGUUACCGAAUUCAGACAAACUCCGAAUGCCAAUUAAUUUAACUUGGGAGUCAGAACAUGGGUGAUAAGGUCCGUGUUCGAAAGGGAAACAGCCCAGACCACCAGCUAAGGUCCCAAAAUAUAUGUUAAGUGGAAAAGGAUGUGGCGUUGCCCAGACAACUAGGAUGUUGGCUUAGAAGCAGCCAUCAUUUAAAGAGUGCGUAAUAGCUCACUAGUCGAGUGACACUGCGCCGAAAAUGUACCGGGGCUAAACAUAUUACCGAAGCUGUGGAUUGUCCUUUGGACAAUGGUAGGAGAGCGUUCUAAGGGCGUUGAAGCAUGAUCGUAAGGACAUGUGGAGCGCUUAGAAGUGAGAAUGCCGGUGUGAGUAGCGAAAGACGGGUGAGAAUCCCGUCCACCGAUUGACUAAGGUUUCCAGAGGAAGGCUCGUCCGCUCUGGGUUAGUCGGGUCCUAAGCUGAGGCCGACAGGCGUAGGCGAUGGAUAACAGGUUGAUAUUCCUGUACCACCUAUAAUCGUUUUAAUCGAUGGGGGGACGCAGUAGGAUAGGCGAAGCGUGCGAUUGGAUUGCACGUCUAAGCAGUAAGGCUGAGUAUUAGGCAAAUCCGGUACUCAUUAAGGCUGAGCUGUGAUGGGGAGAAGACAUUGUGUCUUCGAGUCGUUGAUUUCACACUGCCGAGAAAAGCCUCUAGAUAGAAAAUAGGUGCCCGUACCGCAAACCGACACAGGUAGUCAAGAUGAGAAUUCUAAGGUGAGCGAGCGAACUCUCGUUAAGGAACUCGGCAAAAUGACCCCGUAACUUCGGGAGAAGGGGUGCUCUUUAGGGUUAACGCCCAGAAGAGCCGCAGUGAAUAGGCCCAAGCGACUGUUUAUCAAAAACACAGGUCUCUGCUAAACCGUAAGGUGAUGUAUAGGGGCUGACGCCUGCCCGGUGCUGGAAGGUUAAGAGGAGUGGUUAGCUUCUGCGAAGCUACGAAUCGAAGCCCCAGUAAACGGCGGCCGUAACUAUAACGGUCCUAAGGUAGCGAAAUUCCUUGUCGGGUAAGUUCCGACCCGCACGAAAGGCGUAACGAUUUGGGCACUGUCUCAACGAGAGACUCGGUGAAAUCAUAGUACCUGUGAAGAUGCAGGUUACCCGCGACAGGACGGAAAGACCCCGUGGAGCUUUACUGUAGCCUGAUAUUGAAAUUCGGCACAGCUUGUACAGGAUAGGUAGGAGCCUUUGAAACGUGAGCGCUAGCUUACGUGGAGGCGCUGGUGGGAUACUACCCUAGCUGUGUUGGCUUUCUAACCCGCACCACUUAUCGUGGUGGGAGACAGUGUCAGGCGGGCAGUUUGACUGGGGCGGUCGCCUCCUAAAAGGUAACGGAGGCGCUCAAAGGUUCCCUCAGAAUGGUUGGAAAUCAUUCAUAGAGUGUAAAGGCAUAAGGGAGCUUGACUGCGAGACCUACAAGUCGAGCAGGGUCGAAAGACGGACUUAGUGAUCCGGUGGUUCCGCAUGGAAGGGCCAUCGCUCAACGGAUAAAAGCUACCCCGGGGAUAACAGGCUUAUCUCCCCCAAGAGUUCACAUCGACGGGGAGGUUUGGCACCUCGAUGUCGGCUCAUCGCAUCCUGGGGCUGUAGUCGGUCCCAAGGGUUGGGCUGUUCGCCCAUUAAAGCGGUACGCGAGCUGGGUUCAGAACGUCGUGAGACAGUUCGGUCCCUAUCCGUCGUGGGCGUAGGAAAUUUGAGAGGAGCUGUCCUUAGUACGAGAGGACCGGGAUGGACAUACCUCUGGUGUACCAGUUGUCGUGCCAACGGCAUAGCUGGGUAGCUAUGUGUGGACGGGAUAAGUGCUGAAAGCAUCUAAGCAUGAAGCCCCCCUCAAGAUGAGAUUUCCCAACUUCGGUUAUAAGAUCCCUCAAAGAUGAUGAGGUUAAUAGGUUCGAGGUGGAAGCAUGGUGACAUGUGGAGCUGACGAAUACUAA